RNAcentral lists this ribosomal RNA (469 nucleotides) under uncultured bacterium. Its description in RNAcentral is "bacterial SSU rRNA". It matches the Rfam family "Bacterial small subunit ribosomal RNA", at positions 47 to 507 of the family's 1533-position model. The record is from RNAcentral.
CUUGAGGCAUGCAAGUCGUACGAGAACGUCCCUUCGGGGACUAGUAAAGUGGCGGACGGUUGAGUAACGCGUAGGAAUCUACCCAGUAGUGGGGGACAACCCGGGGGAAACUCGGGCUAAUACCGCAUACACCCUACGGGGAAAAGAGGGGCCUCUGUUUUCAUUGCUCUCGCUAUUGGAGGAGCCUGCGUCGGAUUAGCUUGUUGGUAGGGUAAUGGCCUACCAAGGCGACGAUCCGUAGCUGGUCUGAGAGGACGACCAGCCAGACUGGGACUGAGACACGGCCCAGACUCCUACGGGAGGCAGCAGCCAGGAAUAUUGGACAAUGGGCGCAAGCCUGAUCCAGCCAUGCCGCGUGUGUGAUGAAGGCCUUCGGGUCGUAAAGCACUUUCAGGAGCGAAGAAAAGCACUCGGAUAAUACCCGAGUGUCUUGACGUUAACUCCAGAAGAAGGACCGGCUAACUCCGUG